UACGGAGGGUGCGAGCGUUGUCCGGAAUCACUGGGCGUAAAGAGCUCGUAGGCGGUCUGUUGCGUCGGCUGUGAAAACCCGGGGCUCAACUCCGGGCCUGCAGCCGAUACGGGGAGACUAGAGUUCGGCAGGGGAGACUGGAAUUCCUGGUGUAGCGGUGAAAUGCGCAGAUAUCAGGAGGAACACCGGUGGCGAAGGCGGGUCUCUGGGCCGAUACUGACGCUGAGGAGCGAAAGCGUGGGGAGCAAACAGG
RNAcentral lists this ribosomal RNA (253 nucleotides) under uncultured bacterium. Its description in RNAcentral is "partial 16S ribosomal RNA". It matches the Rfam family "Bacterial small subunit ribosomal RNA", at positions 524 to 776 of the family's 1533-position model. The record is from RNAcentral.